Molecule: ribosomal RNA, 180 nt
Filed under: uncultured bacterium
Lineage: Bacteria
Description: partial 16S ribosomal RNA
Rfam family: Bacterial small subunit ribosomal RNA
Source: RNAcentral
AUGAAGUCGGAAUUGCUAGUAAUCGCGGAUCAGCAUGCCGCGGUGAAUACGUUCCCGGGCCUCGUACACACCGCCCGUCACACCAUGGGAGCCGGUAAUACCCGAAGUCAGUAGUCCAACUUCGUGAGGACGCUGCCGAAGGUAGGAUUGGCGACUGGGGUGAAGUCGUAACAAGGUAAC